UACGUAGGGUGCAAGCGUUAAUCGGAAUUACUGGGCGUAAAGCGUGCGCAGGCGGUUUUGUAAGACUGUCGUGAAAUCCCCGGGCUUAACCUGGGAAUGGCGAUGGUGACUGCAAGGCUAGAGUUUGGCAGAGGGGGGUAGAAUUCCACGUGUAGCAGUGAAAUGCGUAGAUAUGUGGAGGAACACCGAUGGCGAAGGCAGCCCCCUGGGUCAAAACUGACGCUCAUGCACGAAAGCUAGGGGAGCAAACAGG
RNAcentral lists this ribosomal RNA (253 nucleotides) under uncultured bacterium. Its description in RNAcentral is "partial 16S ribosomal RNA". It matches the Rfam family "Bacterial small subunit ribosomal RNA", at positions 524 to 776 of the family's 1533-position model. The record is from RNAcentral.